GUCCACACAGUAACGAUGAAUACUCGCUGUUGCGAUAUACAGUAAGCGGCCAAGCGAAGCGUUAAGUAUUCCACCUGGGAGUACGCCGGCAACGGUGAACUCAAAGGAAUUGACGGGGCCCGCACAAGCGGAGGAACAUGUGGUUUAAUUCGAUGAUACGCGAGGAACCUUACCCGGGCUUGAAUUGCAACUGAAUGAUGUGGAGACAUGUCAGCCGCAAGGCAGUUGUGAAGGUGCUGCAUGGUUGUCGU
RNAcentral lists this ribosomal RNA (251 nucleotides) under uncultured bacterium. RNAcentral describes it as "partial 16S ribosomal RNA". It matches the Rfam family "Bacterial small subunit ribosomal RNA", at positions 793 to 1055 of the family's 1533-position model. The record is from RNAcentral.